AAAGAGCCCACACACUUUACGGGAUCUUUGUAGGAUAUGAGAACAAAACAGAGAAAACAGAACUCACCAAAAGACUGCACCACAAAAUUAGAAAUCAAUCAUAAAAAGCCAGUCAAAACUUCCAACAAUUUAUAGGUUGAAGAAG
Molecule: long non-coding RNA, 145 nt
Organism: Loxodonta africana (African savanna elephant)
Lineage: Eukaryota; Metazoa; Chordata; Mammalia; Proboscidea; Elephantidae
Rfam family: Non-protein coding RNA, upstream of F2R/PAR1 conserved region 1
Source: Rfam